This is a long non-coding RNA of Herpailurus yagouaroundi (jaguarundi), 1980 nucleotides long. RefSeq lists it as uncharacterized. The record is from RefSeq and is a predicted model, not a curated record. Lineage: Eukaryota; Metazoa; Chordata; Mammalia; Carnivora; Felidae. The transcript has 2 exons.
AAGUUAGGUUGUUUGAGAUCUUUCUUGUUUCUUAAUGUAGACCUUUAUCACUAUAAACUUUCCUCUUAAAACUGCUUUUGCCGCAUCCCUUAAGUUUUGGUGCAUUACGUUUCCAUCUUCAUUUGUCUCAGGUAUUUUUUUAUUUCCCUUUUGAUUUCUUCUCUGAGCCACUGGCUAUUCAGAUGUUUAGUUUUCAUGUAUUUGCACUUUUCCUGCUUCCCUCCCAUUACUGAUUUCUAGCUGCAUAGCUUCAUGUAGUCAAAAAAGACAUUGUGACUUCAGUCCUCUUAAAUUUAAGACUGGUUUCAUGAUCUUCCAAGUGAUCCUGGAGAAUCUUCCAUGAACGUUGAUAAGAAUGUGUGUUCUGCUACUAUUCAGGGGGCGGGUGGGGAGAAGGUAUUCUGGGCGUCUCUUAGAUCCAUUUGUUCCACUACAGUGUCAUUCCAGUCAGUAUUUCCUUAUUGACUUUCUGUCUGAUCUAUCCGUUAUUGAAAGUGAGGUAUUCAGAAGUCUAUACUGUUUACAUCUUUUGAUUGGAAAACUUAAUCCAUUUACAUAUAAAGUAAUUACUGAUAAGUAAGGACUUACUCUUGCCAUCUUGUUCAUUGUUUUCUGGCUUUGUAGUUCUUUAUUCCUUUCUUCCUCUCAUGCUAUCUUCCUUUGUGAUUUGAUGAUUUUUCAUAGAAGAAUGCUUUGUUUUGUCUUUUGCAUACUAAAGCUAUUUGUGAUAAUAUGAGCCUUACAUUAAAAACAUAGUUAUAAAUAAGUCCAUUUUGAGCUGGGAACUUCAACUGCACACCAAACUCUACACUUCUACUUCCCGCACACAUAUUUCAUGUUUGGUAACGCAAUGUACAUCUUUUUUACAUUGUGUAUCCAUUAGAAAUUACUGUAAAUAUAGUUAUUUUUAAUACUUUUGACUUUUAACAUUCAUACUCAAGUGGUUUGUACACAACCAUCAUACUCUGGAUGACCAUAUGCUUACUUUCACCAGUGAGUUUUACACUUUCAUGUCUUUUCAUGUUACUAAUUAGGAUCCUUUCACUUCAGCUUGAAGAAUUCUCUUUAGCAUUCUGGUAUGGCAGGUCUAGUGGUGUUGAACUCCCUCAGCUUUCAUCUGAGAAAGGCUUUCUCCUUUAUUUCUGAAGGACAGCUUUGCCAAUAUUCUUGGCUGUCAAGUAUGUUUUACUUUCAAAACUGCAAAUAUAUCAUUCCAUUCUCUCCUGGCCUGCAAGGUUUCUGCAGAGAAAUCUGCUGAAAGCCUUUUGGGUAUUCACCUGUUUGAAAUGAAGUGGGUAUUUUUUUUUUUUUCUCUGUCUUGCUGUUUUCAAAUUUCUGUCUUGAUUUUUGAUACUUGAAUGUGUCUUGGUGAGGUCUUCUUUGGGUUCAAUCUAAUUGGGGACCUGUAAGAUUCAUGUGCCGAGACGUACAUAACUCUUACUAGAUUUGGGAAUUUCUUAAAUAAGCUUUCUGACCUUUCUUUCUCUCUUCUUCUGGGACUCCCACAAUGCAGAUAGUAGUUGCUUGAUAGUGCCCCCAAAUUCACAUAUGCUUUCUUCGCUUUUUUCAUUCUUCUUUCUUUUUUCUCCUAUGACUAGUUAAUUUCAAAUAACCUGUCUUGAAGUUAACAAAUUCUUUCCUCUGUUUGAUCAAGUCAGCUAUUCAUGCUGUCUAUUGCAUUUUUUACUUCAUUCACUGUAUUCUUCAGCUCCAAUAUUUGUUGGUUCUUUUCAUGAUUUCUAUUUCUCUACUGAACUUCUCAUUUUCCUCACGUAUUUUUUGUUGAGUUGUCUCAUGUAUUCUGUUAACCUUAAAAAUAAAACUGUUAUUUUGCCCAAAAAAAAAGGGGGGGGGGUUAUUCUUAACAGAGAAUUUCAAUCUGGGACAAGCUAGCUAUGGUAAAACAACAGGCAAGUCUGGAGAAGAAGUCCAAAAAGGAGGCUCUUUUAUAGAGGAGGGGGGUGUAGGGAGGGGCUGUUG